CAGCACAAAAUGUUCAUCUGAAACACGCAGCCUGCAGGUUCAUCAGGAUUUCCCACAACUCGUUGAUGACAUAGGGAAACCUCAUCCUCACUCUCGCACAGAGAGCUUUUGUCAGUCUCACAGCAGAAAAGAGCACCUCUUUGUCCUCUGCCUGCUCUUCAACACAUAAUCUCAACUUCAGGCUGAGCCCGUUCCUACCUUUCCAAAGACCUUUGAGAAAAAUCAAUCAUGAGUUUGAUUUGUGAAAUGCAAAAUUCGAUUUAUUGUACUUUAAUACAAUAAAAACUACUAUUUUGUCCA
Molecule: non-coding RNA, 300 nt
Organism: Misgurnus anguillicaudatus (oriental weatherfish)
Lineage: Eukaryota; Metazoa; Chordata; Actinopteri; Cypriniformes; Cobitidae
Source: RefSeq, a predicted model, not a curated record